RNAcentral lists this ribosomal RNA (254 nucleotides) under uncultured bacterium. RNAcentral's name for it is "partial 16S ribosomal RNA". It matches the Rfam family "Bacterial small subunit ribosomal RNA", at positions 524 to 776 of the family's 1533-position model. The record is from RNAcentral.
UACGAAGGUGGCAAGCGUUGUUCGGAUUUACUGGGCGUAAAGGGCGCGUAGGCGGCCACCGCAAGUCGACUGUGAAAUCUCCGGGCUUAACCCGGAAAGGUCAGCCGAUACUGCGGGGCUAGAGUGCAGAAGGGGCAACUGGAAUUCUCGGUGUAGCGGUGAAAUGCGUAGAUAUCGAGAGGAACACCUGCGGCGAAGGCGGGUUGCUGGGCUGACACUGACGCUGAGGCGCGAAAGCUAGGGGAGCGAACGGG